This 209-nucleotide unclassified non-coding RNA is filed under the name plant metagenome. RNAcentral describes it as "partial contains small subunit ribosomal RNA and internal transcribed spacer 1". The stretch from base 1 to 46 matches the Rfam family "Eukaryotic small subunit ribosomal RNA", at positions 1786 to 1831 of the family's 1831-position model. The record is from RNAcentral.
AAGUCGUAACAAGGUUUCCGUAGGUGAACCUGCGGAAGGAUCAUUACAGAGGACUUGCCCUUCGGGGUAGAUCUCCCACCCUUUGUUUACAUUACCUUUGUUGCUUUGGCGGGCCCGUCUCCAGACCACCGGCACUAGCUGGUCAGUGCCCGCCAGAGGACCUAAAACUCUUUAAUAUAUGUCGUCUAAGUACUACUAAAUAGUUAAAA